RNAcentral lists this ribosomal RNA (496 nucleotides) under uncultured bacterium. RNAcentral describes it as "partial 16S ribosomal RNA". It matches the Rfam family "Bacterial small subunit ribosomal RNA", at positions 29 to 507 of the family's 1533-position model. The record is from RNAcentral.
AUGAACGCUGGCGGCGUGCCUCAUACAUGCCAGUCGAGCGAACAGACGAGGAGCUUGCUCCUCUGACGUUAGCGGCGGACGGGUGAGUAACACGUGGAUAACCUACCUAUAAGACUGGGAUAACUUCGGGAAACCGGAGCUAAUACCGGAUAAUAUAUUGAACCGCAUGGUUCAAUAGUGAAAGGCGGUUUUGCUGUCACUUAUAGAUGGAUCCGCGCCGCAUUAGCUAGUUGGUAAGGUAACGGCUUACCAAGGCAACGAUGCGUAGCCGACCUGAGAGGGUGAUCGGCCACACUGGAACUGAGACACGGUCCAGACUCCUACGGGAGGCAGCAGUAGGGAAUCUUCCGCAAUGGGCGAAAGCCUGACGGAGCAACGCCGCGUGAGUGAUGAAGGUCUUCGGAUCGUAAAACUCUGUUAUUAGGGAAGAACAAAUGUGUAAGUAACUAUGCACGUCUUGACGGUACCUAAUCAGAAAGCCACGGCUAACUACGUG